CCUACGGGAGGCAGCAGUAGGGAAUCUUCCACAAUGGACGAAAGUCUGAUGGAGCAACGCCGCGUGAGUGAAGAAGGGUUUCGGCUCGUAAAGUCCUGUUGGUAGUGAAGAUAGAUAGAGGUAGUAACUGGCCUUUAUUUGACGGUAAUUUCUUAGAAAGUCACGGCUAACUACGUGCCAGCAGCCGCGGUAAUACGUAGGUGGCAAGCGUUGUCCGGAUUGAUUGGGCGUAAAGCGAGUGCAGGCGGUUCAAUAAGUCUGAUGUGAAAGCCUUCGGCUUAACCGGAGAAUUGCAUCAGAAACUGUUGAACUUGAGUGCAGAAGAGGAGAGUGGAACUCCAGGUGUAGCGGUAGAAUGCGUAGAGAUAUAGAAGAACACCAGUGGCGAAGGCGACUCUCUGGUCUGCAACUGACGCUGAGGCUCGAAAGCAUGGGUAGCGAACAGGAUUAGAUACCCGUGUAGUC
This 465-nucleotide ribosomal RNA is filed under the name uncultured bacterium. RNAcentral describes it as "partial 16S ribosomal RNA". It matches the Rfam family "Bacterial small subunit ribosomal RNA", at positions 338 to 795 of the family's 1533-position model. The record is from RNAcentral.